GACGAACGCUGGCGGCGUGCUUAACACAUGCAAGUCGAACGGACAGGCCCUGCUUUUGUGGGGUGCUUGAGUGGCGAACGGGUGAGUAACACGUGAGUAACCUGUCCUUGACAUUGUGAUAACUUCAGGAAACUGGGGCUAAUACCGGAUAGGAGCUCCUGCUGCAUGGUGGUGGUAGGAAAGUUUCGGCGGUUGGGGAUGUACUCGCGGCUUAUCAGCUUGUUGGUGGGGUAGUGGCUUACCAAGGCUUUGACGGGUAGCCGGCCUGAGAGGGUGACCGGCCACAUUGGGACUGAGAUACGGCCCAGACUCCUACGGGAGGCAGCAGUGGGGAAUAUUGCACAAUGGGCGGAAGCCAGAUGCAGCAACGCCGCGUGCGGGAUAACGGCCUUCGGGUUGUAAACCGAUUUCGCCUGUGACGAAGCGUGAGUGACGGUAAUGGGUAAAGAAGCACCGGCUAACUACGUG
RNAcentral lists this ribosomal RNA (468 nucleotides) under uncultured bacterium. RNAcentral's name for it is "partial 16S ribosomal RNA". It matches the Rfam family "Bacterial small subunit ribosomal RNA", at positions 28 to 507 of the family's 1533-position model. The record is from RNAcentral.